This 402-nucleotide ribosomal RNA is filed under the name uncultured bacterium. RNAcentral's name for it is "bacterial SSU rRNA". It matches the Rfam family "Bacterial small subunit ribosomal RNA", at positions 355 to 774 of the family's 1533-position model. The record is from RNAcentral.
UAAGGAAUAUUGCUCAAUGGGCGAAAGCCUGAUGCAGCAACGCCGCGUGAGUGAUGAAGGCCUUCGGGUUGUAAAGCUCUGUCUUCUGGGACGAUAAUGACGGUACCAGAGGAGGAAGCCACGGCUAACUACGUGCCAGCAGCCGCGGUAAUACGUAGGUGGCAAGCGUUGUCCGGAUUUACUGGGCGUAAAGGAUGCGUAGGCGGAUACUUAAGUCAGAUGUGAAAAUCCCGGGCUUAACUUGGGAACUGCAUUUGAAACUGGGUAUCUAGAGUGCGGGAGAGGAAAGUGGAAUUCCUAGUGUAGCGGUGGAAUGCGUAGAGAUUAGGAAGAACACCAGUGGCGAAGGCGACUUUCUGGACCGUAACUGACGCUGAGACAUGAAAGCGUGGGGAGCAAACA